GUCGAUGGAGCCGAUUGAGGCUCUGGUGGAUAACUUUGCCAGAGGCGACGAAGAACCGUGUUCUGAAUCGCUGAACUUUAACCCCUUGUGCGAACUUGGAGAGACUUUUACUGGCAGUGGGUUUUUGUUUUGCUUUGGGGACAAUGGUGAUCGAGCAGCAGCUGAGUUGCUUCUCGCGGCAAUUCUCUUCUCUCGUUCUCUUUUCAGUGCUUCCAAUCGCCUAAUACCUUCCUCUUCCUUUUCUUUCUUCUCUUUCUGGAGAUCGGCUUUGUAUGCCCUCAGCUUCUCUGCACGUUUCUGUGCCUCAAUCAACGUGUUCGACUUUGAGGGUGCUACUUUCCUGAUUAUCGGCUCCUUCUUCUUCCCCGCUCCAGUUCGUGCAACUUUUAAAUUCUUUCCACUGUCUGAUUUAGUCGAUACUUCUUCGACACUUGCCGGAACAUUUUCUUGGUUUUCACUUUCAUGAUUAGUAGAUACAUGAAUAGGAA
RNAcentral lists this unclassified non-coding RNA (488 nucleotides) under Hevea brasiliensis (rubber tree). Lineage: Eukaryota; Viridiplantae; Streptophyta; Magnoliopsida; Malpighiales; Euphorbiaceae. The record is from RNAcentral.